UUGGAAUUCCUGGUGUAGCGGUGGAAUGCGCAGAUAUCAGGAGGAACACCGAUGGCGAAGGCAGAUCUCUGGGCCGUAACUGACGCUGAGGAGCGAAAGGGUGGGGAGCAAACAGGCUUAGAUACCCUGGUAGUCCACCCCGUAAACGUUGGGAACUAGUUGUGGGGUCCAUUCCACGGAUUCCGUGACGCAGCUAACGCAUUAAGUUCCCCGCCUGGGGAGUACGGCCGCAAGGCUAAAACUCAAAGGAAUUGACGGGGACCCGCACAAGCGGCGGAGCAUGCGGAUUAAUUCGAUGCAACGCGAAGAACCUUACCAAGGCUUGACAUAUACGAGAACGGGCCAGAAAUGGUCAACUCUUUGGACACUCGUAAACAGGUGGUGCAUGGUUGUCGUCAGCUCGUGUCGUGAGAUGUUGGGUUAAGUCCCGCAACGAGCGCAACCCUCGUUCUAUGUUGCCAGCACGUAAUGGUGGGAACUCAUGGGAUACUGCCGGGGUCAACUCGGAGGAAGGUGGGGAUGACGUCAAAUCAUCAUGCCCCUUAUGUCUUGGGCUUCACGCAUGCUACAAUGGCCGGUACAAAGGGCUGCAAUACCGUGAGGUGGAGCGAAUCCCAAAAAGCCGGUCCCAGUUCGGAUUGAGGUCUGCAACUCGACCUCAUGAAGUCGGAGUCGCUAGUAAUCGCAGAUCAGCAACGCUGCGGUGAAUACGUUCCCGGGUCUUGUACACACCGCCCGUCAAGUCAUGAAAGUCGGUAACACCUGAAGCCGGUGGCCCAACCCUUGUGGAGGGAGCUGU
RNAcentral lists this ribosomal RNA (799 nucleotides) under unidentified microorganism. RNAcentral's name for it is "bacterial SSU rRNA". It matches the Rfam family "Bacterial small subunit ribosomal RNA", at positions 661 to 1456 of the family's 1533-position model. The record is from RNAcentral.